AGCAGCCGCGGUAAUUCCAGCUCCAAUAGCGUAUAUUAAAGUUGUUGCAGUUAAAAAGCUCGUAGUUGAAUUUCGGGGUUCUACCGUUGGUCGGGCUUUGUCUGUACUGGCGUGUAGAAUUUCUACCUUCUGGGGAACCAUCAUGUUAUUAAUUUAACGUGGUGGGAAACCAGGACCUUUACCUUGAAAAAAUUAGAGUGCUCAAAGCAGGCUUAUGUCUGAAUACAUUAGCAUGGAAUAAUAAAAUAGGACGGUGGUCCUGUUUUGUUGGUUUCUGAAUCACCGUAAUGAUUAAUAGGGAUAGUUGGGGGCAUUAGUAUUCAAUUGUCAGAGGUGAAAUUCUUGGAUUGAU
RNAcentral lists this ribosomal RNA (352 nucleotides) under uncultured Racocetra. RNAcentral describes it as "SSU rRNA". It matches the Rfam family "Eukaryotic small subunit ribosomal RNA", at positions 569 to 929 of the family's 1831-position model. The record is from RNAcentral. Lineage: Eukaryota; Fungi; Glomeromycota; Glomeromycetes; Diversisporales; Gigasporaceae.